Molecule: non-coding RNA, 246 nt
Organism: Pelobates cultripes (western spadefoot toad)
Lineage: Eukaryota; Metazoa; Chordata; Amphibia; Anura; Pelobatidae
Source: the annotation of a GenBank genome assembly
UUUGAUUGGUUCAAUUUUCAAAUAGUUUAUAGACCUGGAUCUCGUAACAAAAAAGCUGAUGCUCUCUCCAGAAUUCCUUUAAUCCUGCUUCAGAAAAGAAAACCUUUUCAAUAUUAUCAAACAAUAAAAUAAUUGGACUUACAACUACUAUAUUGGAUGAACUGAAACAAUUAUCUCACAAGGAACGUGAACUACCUUCUACUCCUAAAUUGUUCAAAAAAGAUGGAAUCUUUUAUUUCAAAAAUA